AAAACGCCCUUAAAUCCCCACUAGGGAUAAGGAGCUGGUAUCAGGCACAAUAAUUUGCCCAAGACACCUAGCUUUGCCACACCCACAAGGGAAUUCAGCAGUGAUUAACAUUGAACAUAAGCGACAGCUUGAUUCAGUUAAAGUAAAUAGAGCCGGCUAAUCUGGUGCCAGCCGCCGCGGUUACACCACGUGGCUCAAAUUGAUUUCUAUCGGCGUAAAGCGUGAUUUAAGAGCCCCUAAAAAUUGAAGUAAAACUAAAACUAAGCCGUGACACGCUUGUUAUUAAGAAAAUCAAGAACGAAAGUCACUUCAAUCAUUUCAACUUGAAUUCACGACAACUAGGACACAAACUGGGAUUAGAUACCCCACUAUGCCUAGUCGUAAACUUUAAAUUACACCACCAUCGCCAGGGAACUACGAGCUAAGCUUAAAACCCAAAGGACUUGACGGUACCCCACAUCCACCUAGAGGAGCCUGUCCUAUAAUCGAUAACCCCCGUUUAACCUCACCACUUUUAGCCUAUCAGCCUGUAUACCUCCGUCGUCAGCUUACCACGUGAGCGACCUCUAGUGAGCUUAAUGCCCCUACACCAACACGUCAGGUCAAGGUGCAGCAUAUAAAGUGGGAAGAGAUGGGCUACACUUUCUAAAUUAGAAUAUACGAAAGACUAUUUAUGAAACCUAGUCAGAAGGCGGAUUUAGUAGUAAAAAGAAACUAGAGCGUUCUUUUUAACCCGGCACUGGGGUGUGUACACACCGCCCGUCACCCUCUUCAAAGCAAACAAACAGUAUGUAACCAACUUCUGCAUCACAGAAG
Molecule: ribosomal RNA, 816 nt
Filed under: Rupirana cardosoi
Lineage: Eukaryota; Metazoa; Chordata; Amphibia; Anura; Leptodactylidae
Description: partial 12S ribosomal RNA
Rfam family: Bacterial small subunit ribosomal RNA
Source: RNAcentral